RNAcentral lists this ribosomal RNA (245 nucleotides) under uncultured Lactobacillus sp. RNAcentral's name for it is "partial 16S ribosomal RNA". It matches the Rfam family "Bacterial small subunit ribosomal RNA", at positions 118 to 354 of the family's 1533-position model. The record is from RNAcentral. Lineage: Bacteria; Bacillati; Bacillota; Bacilli; Lactobacillales; Lactobacillaceae.
UGGGGAACCUGCCCCAUAGUCUGGGAUACCACUUGGAAACAGGUGCUAAUACCGGAUAAGAAAGCAGAUCGCAUGAUCAGCUUUUAAAAGGCGGCGUAAGCUGUCGCUAUGGGAUGGCCCCGCGGUGCAUUAGCUAGUUGGUAAGGUAAAGGCUUACCAAGGCGAUGAUGCAUAGCCGAGUUGAGAGACUGAUCGGCCACACUGGGACUGAGACACGGCCCAAACUCCUACGGGAGGCAGCAGGG